This 484-nucleotide ribosomal RNA is filed under the name uncultured bacterium. Its description in RNAcentral is "partial 16S ribosomal RNA". It matches the Rfam family "Bacterial small subunit ribosomal RNA", at positions 30 to 507 of the family's 1533-position model. The record is from RNAcentral.
AUUGAACGCUGGCGGCAGGCCUAACACAUGCAAGUCGAGCGGAUGAAGGGAGCUUGCUCCUGGAUUCAGCGGCGGACGGGUGAGUAAUGCCUAGGAAUCUGCCUGGUAGUGGGGGAUAACGUCCGUAAACGGGCGCUAAUACCGCAUACGUCCUGAGGGUGAAAGUGGGGGAUCUUCGGACCUCACGCUAUCAGAUGAGCCUAGGUCGGAUUAGCUAGUUGGUUGGGUAAAGGCCUACCAAGGCGACGAUCCGUAACUGGUCUGAGAGGAUGAUCAGUCACACUGGAACUGAGACACGGUCCAGACUCCUACGGGAGGCAGCAGUGGGGAAUAUUGGACAAUGGGCGAAAGCCUGAUCCAGCCAUGCCGCGUGUGUGAAGAAGGUCUUCGGAUUGUAAAGCACUUUAAGUUGGGAGGAAGGGCAGUAAGUUAAUACCUUGCUGUUUUGACGUUACCAACAGAAUAAGCACCGGCUAACUUCGUG